This 301-nucleotide ribosomal RNA is filed under the name uncultured bacterium. Its description in RNAcentral is "partial 16S ribosomal RNA". It matches the Rfam family "Bacterial small subunit ribosomal RNA", at positions 509 to 807 of the family's 1533-position model. The record is from RNAcentral.
CAGUCGCCACGGGAAUACGGAGGGUGCAAGCGUUAAUCGGAAUUACUGGGCGUAAAGCGCACGCAGGCGGUCUGUCAAGUCAGAUGUGAAAUCCCCGGGCUUAACCUGGGAACUGCAUUUGAAACUGGCAAGCUAGAGUCUUGUAGAGGGGGGUAGAAUUCCAGGUGUAGCGGUGAAAUGCGUAGAGAUCUGGAGGAAUACCGGUGGCGAAGGCGGCCCCCUGGACAAAGACUGACGCUCAGGUGCGAAAGCGUGGGGAGCAAACAGGAUUAGAUACCCGAGUAGUCCCUGUCUCUUAUAC